Molecule: ribosomal RNA, 411 nt
Filed under: uncultured Cardiobacterium sp.
Lineage: Bacteria; Pseudomonadati; Pseudomonadota; Gammaproteobacteria; Cardiobacteriales; Cardiobacteriaceae
Description: bacterial SSU rRNA
Rfam family: Bacterial small subunit ribosomal RNA
Source: RNAcentral
CCUACGGGGGGCAGCAGUGGGGAAUUUUGGACAAUGGGCGAAAGCCUGAUCCAGCCAUUCCGCGUGCAGGAUGAAGGCCCUCGGGUUGUAAACUGCUUUUGUACAGAACGAAAAAGCUCUGGUUAAUACCUGGAGUCCAUGACGGUACUGUAAGAAUAAGCACCGGCUAACUACGUGCCAGCAGCCGCGGUAAUACGUAGGGUGCAAGCGUUAAUCGGAAUUACUGGGCGUAAAGCGUGCGCAGGCGGUGAUGUAAGACAGUUGUGAAAUCCCCGGGCUCAACCUGGGAACUGCAUCUGUGACUGCAUCGCUGGAGUGCGGCAGAGGGGGAUGGAAUUCCGCGUGUAGCAGUGAAAUGCGUAGAUAUGCGGAGGAACACCGAUGGCGAAGGCAAUCCCCUGGGCCUGCACU